RNAcentral lists this ribosomal RNA (417 nucleotides) under uncultured bacterium. Its description in RNAcentral is "bacterial SSU rRNA". It matches the Rfam family "Bacterial small subunit ribosomal RNA", at positions 29 to 489 of the family's 1533-position model. The record is from RNAcentral.
AGCGAACGCUGGCGGCAGGCUUAACACAUGCAAGUCGAACGGAUCCUUCGGGAUUAGUGGCGGACGGGUGAGUAACACGUGGGAACGUGCCCUUAGGUUCGGAACAACACAGGGAAACUUGUGCUAAUACCGGAUGUGCCCCUUACGGGGGAAAGAUUUAUCGCCUUUGGAGCGGCCCGCGUCUGAUUAGCUUGUUGGUGAGGUAAAGGCUCACCAAGGCUACGAUCAGUAGCUGGUCUGAGAGGAUGGCCAGCCACAUUGGGACUGAGACACGGCCCAAACUCCUACGGGAGGCAGCAGUGGGGAAUCUUGCGCAAUGGGCGAAAGCCUGACGCAGCCAUGCCGCGUGGAUGAUGAAGGUCUUAGGAUUGUAAAAUCCUUUCAGCGGGGACGAUAAUGACGGUACCCGCAGAAGAA